CGGGAGCCGCAGCCCGCGGCCGCUGAGCCCCGGCGGGCCAGACCGGGUCCGGCCGGGCCAGAGGUUUCAGACACAGACGCAGACGCGGCGGGCGGAGGCGACGGGCCGACGCCGGUCAAGGCCCGCGCUCCUUCCUCCCGCGGAGCGGUCUCCGCAGCUCCGGAAGUGCUCAGUGCAGUUGCGUCACUUCCGGCCCGGGGUCGACCCGCGGUCGCCGAGGUCGCGACUGGUGCUGGGUAAUAGCGUCCCUUGGCCAACGCUUCACUGCAGCCCAGCACUCCGAUCCCGAGUGUGACCCGGCACGGCCCGCGCCCACGGCUGCGGGAGGCAGCGGAGGAGAGAAGUCGGCUUAUUGGAGAGUGGUCAAGGCAUCUCUUCCGGCUUUCUCCUACCGGCGCCGCCCGCCGGGAUAAUUUUAACCAGCGUUUUUCUGAUGGACUGCUCGCUUCACUGUUUGUAUUCGAGUGUAGUGCACAUAGAAGACAUACUGACGCCUAUGGAGUGGUAAAGGACUGUUGUUUCCCGGCCGCUAUCUGGUGGAAGAAGAAUUGGGGUUUCAGGUCCCCGCGCCGGGCCGGGAAUUUCUGCUUACACUCUCAGGCCGCCACCUGGUGGCCCCCGAGCCGCAGAUACCACGCCGGGCUUUCCCUUGACUCUCCGCUGCGUGGCCUACCCAGUUCUUCAGCUUCCCAUUCAUCGUACAAGAUUGAAUCGUGAUUUUGUUUCUUAAAUUCCACUCUUGCCUUGCUACACGGUUUCUUCAAAGAGUUUAGGAACAAAGGACCUAAAGUGUAUUUUCUGCAAAUGAAAUCUGAAUUAGAAGCUCUCGUUUUGGGUUACAGGUAAUAAAUGCUUUCCAGCAAAUAAAAGGAAA
This is a non-coding RNA of Leptonychotes weddellii (Weddell seal), 874 nucleotides long. The record is from RefSeq and is a predicted model, not a curated record. Lineage: Eukaryota; Metazoa; Chordata; Mammalia; Carnivora; Phocidae.